AUUGAACGCUGGCGGCAUGCUUUACACAUGCAAGUCGAACGGUAACAGGCCUUCGGGUGCUGACGAGUGGCGAACGGGUGAGUAAUGCAUCGGAACGUACCCAGAGGUGGGGGAUAACGCAGCGAAAGCUGUGCUAAUACCGCAUGUGAUCUGAGGAUGAAAGCGGGGGACCGAGCAGCAAUGUUUGGCCUCGCGCCUUUGGAGCGGCCGAUGUCGGAUUAGCUAGUUGGUGGGGUAAAGGCCUACCAAGGCGACGAUCCGUAGCUGGUCUGAGAGGACGACCAGCCACACUGGGACUGAGACACGGCCCAGACUCCUACGGGAGGCAGCAGUGGGGAAUUUUGGACAAUGGGCGCAAGCCUGAUCCAGCAAUGCCGCGUGCGGGAAGAAGGCCUUCGGGUUGUAAACUGCUUUUGGCAGGAACGAAACGGUGUCCGCUAAUACCGGGCGCUAAUGACGGUACCUGCAGAAUAAGCACCGGCUAACUACGUG
Molecule: ribosomal RNA, 492 nt
Filed under: uncultured bacterium
Lineage: Bacteria
Description: partial 16S ribosomal RNA
Rfam family: Bacterial small subunit ribosomal RNA
Source: RNAcentral